Molecule: ribosomal RNA, 253 nt
Filed under: uncultured bacterium
Lineage: Bacteria
Description: partial 16S ribosomal RNA
Rfam family: Bacterial small subunit ribosomal RNA
Source: RNAcentral
UACAGAGGGGGCAAGCGUUAUUCGGAAUUAUUGGGCGUAAAGGGCGCGUAGGCGGCCGCGCAAGUGGAAGGUGAAAUCCCUCGGCUCAACCGAGGAACUGCCUUUCAAACUGCAUGGCAUGAGUCCGGGAGAGGUGAGUGGAAUUCCCAGUGUAGCGGUGAAAUGCGUAGAUAUUGGGAGGAACACCAGUGGCGAAGGCGGCUCACUGGACCGGAACUGACGCUGAGGCGCGAAAGCGUGGGGAGCAAACGGG